RNAcentral lists this ribosomal RNA (1126 nucleotides) under uncultured Halomonas sp. RNAcentral describes it as "bacterial SSU rRNA". It matches the Rfam family "Bacterial small subunit ribosomal RNA", at positions 209 to 1321 of the family's 1533-position model. The record is from RNAcentral. Lineage: Bacteria; Pseudomonadati; Pseudomonadota; Gammaproteobacteria; Oceanospirillales; Halomonadaceae.
CUCCGGCUCCCGCUAUUGGAUGAGCCUAUGUCGGAUUAGCUAGUUGGUAAGGUAAUGGCUUACCAAGGCAACGAUCCGUAGCUGGUCUGAGAGGAUGAUCAGCCACAUCGGGACUGAGACACGGCCCGAACUCCUACGGGAGGCAGCAGUGGGGAAUAUUGGACAAUGGGGGCAACCCUGAUCCAGCCAUGCCGCGUGUGUGAAGAAGGCCCUCGGGUUGUAAAGCACUUUCAGCGAGGAAGAAUGCCUAUCGGUUAAUACCCGGUAGGAAAGACAUCACUCGCAGAAGAAGCACCGGCUAACUCCGUGCCAGCAGCCGCGGUAAUACGGAGGGUGCAAGCGUUAAUCGGAAUUACUGGGCGUAAAGCGCGCGUAGGUGGCUUGAUAAGCCGGUUGUGAAAGCCCCGGGCUCAACCUGGGAACGGCAUCCGGAACUGUCAGGCUAGAGUGCAGGAGAGGAAGGUAGAAUUCCCGGUGUAGCGGUGAAAUGCGUAGAGAUCGGGAGGAAUACCAGUGGCGAAGGCGGCCUUCUGGACUGACACUGACACUGAGGUGCGAAAGCGUGGGUAGCAAACANGGAUUAGAUACCCUGGUAGUCCACGCCGUAAACGAUGUCGACCAGCCGUUGGGUGCCUAGAGCACUUUGUGGCGAAGUUAACGCGAUAAGUCGACCGCCUGGGGAGUACGGCCGNCNAAGGUUAAAACUCAAAUGAAUUGACGGGGGCCCGCACAAGCGGUGGAGCAUGUGGUUUAAUUCGAUGCAACGCGAAGAACCUUACCUACCCUUGACAUCUACAGAAGCCGGAAGAGAUUCUGGUGUGCCUUCGGGAACUGUAAGACAGGUGCUGCAUGGCUGUCGUCAGCUCGUGUUGUGAAAUGUUGGGUUAAGUCCCGUAACGAGCGCAACCCUUGUCCUUAUUUGCCAGCGAGUAAUGUCGGGAACUCUAAGGAGACUGCCGGUGACAAACCGGAGGAAGGUGGGGACGACGUCAAGUCAUCAUGGCCCUUACGGGUAGGGCUACACACGUGCUACAAUGGCCGGUACAAAGGGCUGCGAGCUCGCGAGAGUCAGCGAAUCCCUUAAAGCCGGUCUCAGUCCGGAUCGGAGUCCGCAACUCGACUCCGU